Maniola jurtina (meadow brown) is the source of this 310-nucleotide long non-coding RNA. RefSeq lists it as uncharacterized. The record is from RefSeq and is a predicted model, not a curated record. NCBI's taxonomy places the organism in Eukaryota, Metazoa, Arthropoda, Insecta, Lepidoptera, Nymphalidae. The transcript has 3 exons.
UUUGUUACAAUACUGUCAUUGUAAAAUAUACCCUAUUGCUCAAAUGUUAGAAGCGUCUAACUAGUAAAUCAAUCAAACUAAAUAUGGUUCUCGCAAUUUUUUGUGUACCUAAUGAAUUCAACCGAUUCGGAAAGCGAUAAACUGUAAGGAAGAAAAAGGGAAGUAAAACGGAUUGCCAGUGAAAUUGGAUAACAGCCCUAACGCAAGUUCGGUUGAGUACGAGAAACAUCGAGAGUUCAUUAUCCGAGAGAGUUUUUCUCCAAACAAGACCAUAAUAUUUGCUGACACAAACUACCAAUAUAUUAAUCAG